This 506-nucleotide ribosomal RNA is filed under the name uncultured bacterium. RNAcentral's name for it is "partial 16S ribosomal RNA". It matches the Rfam family "Bacterial small subunit ribosomal RNA", at positions 30 to 523 of the family's 1533-position model. The record is from RNAcentral.
AUUGAACGCUGGCGGCAGGCUUAACACAUGCAAGUCGAGCGGUAACAGAGAGAAGCUUGCUUCUCUGCUGACGAGCGGCGGACGGGUGAGUAAUGCCUAGGAAUCUGCCUAGUAGUGGGGGAUAACUUGCCGAAAGGUAAGCUAAUACCGCAUACGUCCUACGGGAGAAAGGAGGGGACCUUCGGGCCUUUCGCUAUUAGAUGAGCCUAAGUCGGAUUAGUUAGUUGGUGAGGUAAUGGCUCACCAAGACCGCGAUCCGUAACUGGUCUGAGAGGAUGAUCAGUCACACUGGAACUGAGACACGGUCCAGACUCCUACGUGAGGCAGCAGUGGGGAAUAUUGGACAAUGGGGGGAACCCUGAUCCAGCCAUGCCGCGUGUGUGAAGAAGGUCUUAGGAUUGUAAAGCACUUUAAGUUGGGAGGAAGAGCAGUUAACUAAUAUUUGACUGUUUUGACGUUACCGACAGAAUAAGCACCGGCUAACUUCGUGCCAGCAGCCGCCGCAG